RNAcentral lists this ribosomal RNA (359 nucleotides) under Neoholothele incei. RNAcentral's name for it is "partial 12S ribosomal RNA". The record is from RNAcentral. Lineage: Eukaryota; Metazoa; Arthropoda; Arachnida; Araneae; Theraphosidae.
UUGGCGGCCUUCCUCCUUAUCAGAGGAACUCGUAUCUUUAUCCGAUGACCCGCGUUAAUUUUAACUUUUUCUUAAAGCCUUUAUAUCGCCGUCUAUAUAAAAAUUUUAUCUCUUAUUAACAAAGAUUUUCUUCUCUACGUCAGGUCAAGAUAAUGCCUAUGAAAAAGGGAGCCGAGUUACUUAUUUUUUGUAUUAAUUUUGAAAGAUUUCAAAAAAUUUUCAACAUAGGAUUUGAUAGUAAACUUUUGGAAUUUCCUAAAUUUGAAAAAGUUCAUAAAGGUGUACAUAUCGCCCGUCACCCUCGUCAAAAGAUGAGGUAAGUCGUAACACAGUUAAUGUAUUGGAAAAUGCAUUAAGGG